Molecule: ribosomal RNA, 497 nt
Filed under: uncultured bacterium
Lineage: Bacteria
Description: partial 16S ribosomal RNA
Rfam family: Bacterial small subunit ribosomal RNA
Source: RNAcentral
GACGAACGCUGGCGGCGUGCCUAAUACAUGCAAGUUGAGCGCUGAAGGUUGGUACUUGUACCGACUGGAUGAGCAGCGCACGGGUGAGUAACGCGUGGGGAAUCUGCCUUUGAGCGGGGGACAACAUUUGGAAACGAAUGCUAAUACCGCAUAAAAACUUUAAACACAAGUUUUAAGUUUGAAAGAUGCAAUUGCAUCACUCAAAGAUGAUCCCGCGUUGUAUUAGCUAGUUGGUGAGGUAAAGGCUCACCAAGGCGAUGAUACAUAGCCGACCUGAGAGGGUGAUCGGCCACAUUGGGACGGAGACACGGCCCAAACUCCUACGGGAGGCAGCAGUAGGGAAUCUUCGGCAGAAGACGAAAGUCUGAACGAGCAACGCCGCGUGAGAGAAGAAGGUUGUCGGAUCGUAAAAGUCUGUUGGUAGAGAAGAACGUUGGUGAGAGUGGAAAGCUCAUCAAGUGACGGUAACUACCCAGAAAGGGACGGCUAACUACGUG